Molecule: ribosomal RNA, 306 nt
Filed under: uncultured organism
Description: bacterial SSU rRNA
Rfam family: Bacterial small subunit ribosomal RNA
Source: RNAcentral
CCUGCCCUUGGGAGGGGAACAACAGCUGGAAACGGCUGCUAAUACCCCAUAGGCUGAGGAGCAAAAGGAGGAAUCCGCCCAAGGAGGGGCUCGCGUCUGAUUAGUUAGUUGGUGAGGCAAUGGCUUACCAAGGCGACGAUCAGUAGCUGGUCCGAGAGGAUGAUCAGCCACACUGGGACUGAGACACGGCCCAGACUCCUACGGGAGGCAGCAGUGGGGAAUUUUCCGCAAUGGGCGAAAGCCUGACGGAGCAAUGCCGCGUGAAGGCAGAAUGCCCACGGGUCAUGAACUUCUUUUCUCGGAGAA